CGCCCAAUUUUCUGACUUUUUUUUUUUUUUUUUUUUUUCCUGAGACGGAGUCUCACUCUGUCGCCCAGGCUGGAGUGCAGUGGCACGAUCUCUACUCACUGCAACCUCCGCCUCCCAGGUUCAAGUGAUCCUCCUGCCUCAGCCUCUUGAGUAGCUGGGACUGCAGGUACUUGCCACCAUGCCCGGCUAAUUUUUUGUAUUUUUAGUAGAGAUGGGGUUUCACCACGUUGGCUAGGCUGGUCUCGAACUCCUGACUGAAAGUGACUUGCCUGCCUCUGCCUCUCAAAGGCAUGAGUCACAGCCUAAUUUUCUUAAUGGUGUUUUGUUUUUGUCUCAUUAAAAGAGUCAAAGUAAACCUGUUCCAAAGAAAGGGCAUCUCUACCAAGUUGGGGCUAAUUCCCAGAUGAGGAGACAUUGCCGAUCUGUGACGUUUACCAUAAUAGCUCUGGAAGUUUGGCUGAGGACCAUGAGCACCCUACAAUCUGGCUUCAGUCCUUCAUUUGGGUCUCUGUCCCUCUGUCUCCACCCAGACCAUCCAUGGUGGCCACACACAAGUCCUCUCCUUCCUAAAGUACCUUGAAAGUACCCUGCACAUUCCUGCACUGCACCUGAGCAUUUUAAAUAAACAAAAUCGGAAAUGCUCUUUCUACUCCUCCUUUCUCUCUCUCCCAGCAACUAAUCUGGUUAAACAAAUCUAUGCUGGUAGAAAGUUAAGUGUUAAGCACAGCAAUUGCUGGGUGCUGAGAAAGGGGAUAAAUUUAGCUUAUUUAUGUAUUACCAUAUUUUCCAGCACCUUCUCCCAUUUAAAGGCCUCCUUCCGAGCUGCACACAUAGACUCCAGACUGGCUUUUACCUGAUGGGGUAUCACCCUUUGCUUACCUCCUGAAAAUGUUAAUUUAGUGAAGAACCUGGUGGUUUCUUGAUUCGGUAGAGUAGGAAGGUCACAACAUCACCCGUGAUUAUUCUUGCCAAAACGAUGUCACCUGAAUCUAAUUGAGGCCUAACUUCCAGCUUACAGUAAAUAUGGAGCAUGAAGGAUGCCAGGUGCAAACAAUCAGACAAAUGGAGCCUGUGGGAGGCUGGCAGAGACUGUUGCUGGCUACCAGCAGCCAUCUGCGGCCCACUUACUCCUUGCCCACCUCCCUGUAAAGCAGCUGAAAGGCCUGGUCCUUGGUUUCAGCUAAGGGUGAAUCAUGAGCUCACGGUGAUCAUCAGACCCCACCCCCCUGGACAAUGAGAAGUAACAGGGACUCUGCUGGAUUGCUUCUUGGAAAGAUUUCCCUCCUUGAUAAAAGGUAAAAGGCACACAGGGAGACCCCUGUAGCCCCAUCCCAUUUUCUUCCUGACAGAGACACUGUCCUGGGAGCAUAUGGUGUGCGGAUCUAUGACAACUGUUUUACAUCCAUCAGGGGAAACGUGGCAGACACACUGAGUGUAUUGGUUACCCAUUGCUUCAUGACGAUUUACCCUGAAACAUGGCACUUUCAAACAAUAAGCAUGUAUUACCUCACACCAUUUUUGAGGGUCUGGAAACUGCAAGUGGCUUAGCAGGUGGUUCUCGCUCUUGUCUCUCAAGGUUGCAUUCAGGCUGAUAGCCAGGGGUGCAGUCAUCUCAAGGCUCGUUGGAGCUAAAGAACCCACUUCCAAACUCACCCUUCUGGUUGCCAGUGGGUAUCAGUUCUUGGUCAAUGUUGACAAAAGCUUUAGUGCCUCAUCAAGUGGGCCUCUCUAUUGGGAGCCAACUUUCUUGGCAGCUGACUUUCUUCAGUGAGAGAUGAAGAGAGUGAGAGAGAGAAUGAGGGAAGGAGAGUGUGUGAGCCCAAGAUGGGAGCUGCAGCCUUUUUAUAACCUAACCUCUGAUGUAAUCUCAGCUAUAUUCUAUUGGUCACACAGACCAGCCCUGGUAAAAUGUAGGAAAAGUGUGAAUACCAGAGGGUGGGUAUUAUCAAGGGCAAAUUUGAAGGCUGGCUAAGGCAUCAAAAAUCGUAUAAGAGAAAGCAAGAAAAACCCUGGGUCCUUGAUGAGAUUCUUGUGUGACUGCACCAACCCCCACACCAUUUGUGUGUGUGCUUCCUAUGAUGACAGAUAACUCAAUGUCUUUGUUUUUAGUCACUGUUCCCUUGAUAUUUGCUGCUGAAAACCUCAUGGCCAGUGCAAGAGCUCUUAAAUAUUUCUAGUAAAAUGUAGCCCUUAUUUUGAGAAGAAUGAAUGAAAUAUGCCCUUUGCUUUUAGUAAAACCUUUGAACAUCCUUUUGCAGUCUCUACUUGGAUCUUGCUCCUCUCUCAAUGCCCAGGGCUAUCCUGUGCCCCAGAAGGAGAGAAAUGAUAAUCCAGGUCACACAAGCAGCCACUUCUGUCUGUCUACCAAUGGCCCAGAGAGGUCUCAGCCCCUGAGAGGGGCCUGAAUCCAAGGCUCAGAGUUAAGUAGACCCAAUGGCCACAAUAACAAAUUCCUGGUUGAGAAAGCCAGGUCCAUCCCUACAGCAGCCUGCAAGGACUUUUAAACUCCACUCCAGUUAAGAUGGCCCAUUCUUUUCUUUUUCUGUUUUUUGUUUUUUUUUUUGUUUGUUUGAGACAGGGUUUUCCUCCGUCGCCUAUGCUGGAAUGCAGUACUGUGAUCAUAGUUCACUGC
RNAcentral lists this long non-coding RNA (2632 nucleotides) under Homo sapiens (human). Its description in RNAcentral is "non-protein coding lnc-C6orf222-2:1". The record is from RNAcentral. Lineage: Eukaryota; Metazoa; Chordata; Mammalia; Primates; Hominidae.